This 23-nucleotide microRNA is filed under the name Ateles geoffroyi (black-handed spider monkey). The record is from RNAcentral. Lineage: Eukaryota; Metazoa; Chordata; Mammalia; Primates; Atelidae.
UGAUUGACACGUCUGCAGAUAGA